Molecule: long non-coding RNA, 719 nt
Organism: Oncorhynchus keta (chum salmon)
Lineage: Eukaryota; Metazoa; Chordata; Actinopteri; Salmoniformes; Salmonidae
Exons: 3
Source: RefSeq, a predicted model, not a curated record
GGUUAGAGUGUAGAGGUGGCAGGUAGCCUAGUGGUUAGAGUGUAGAGGAGGCAGGUAGCCUAGUGGUUAGAGUGUAGAGGAGGCAGGUAGCCUAGUGGUUAGAGUGUAGAGGAGGCAGGUAGCCUAGUGGUUAGAGUGUAGAGGAGGCAGGUAGCCUAGUGGUUAGAGUGUAGAGGAGGCAGGUAGCCUAGUGGUUAGAGUGUAGAGGCAGGCAGCCUAGUGGUUAGAGUAUAGAGGCAGGUAGCCUAGUGGUUAGAGUGUAGAGGAGGCAGGUAGCCUAGUGGUUAGAGUGUAGAGGCAGGUAGCCUAGUGGUUAGAGUGUAGAGGAGGCAGGUAGCCUAGUGGUUAGAGUAUAGAGGCAGGUAGCCUAGUGGUUAGAGUGUAGAGGUGGCAGGUAGCCUAGUGGUUAGAGUGUAGAGGAGGCAGGUAGCCUAGUGGUUAGAGUGUAGAGGCAGGUAGCCUAGUGGUUAGAGUGUAGAGGAGGCAGGUAGCCUAGUGGUUAGAGUGUAGAGGAGGCAGGUAGCCUAGUGGUUAGAGUGUAGAGGAGGCAGGUAGCCUAGUGGUUAGAGUGUAGAGGAGGCAGGUAGCCUAGUGGUUAGAGUGUAGAGGAGGCAGGUAGCCUAGUGGUUAGAGUGUAGAGGAGGCAGGUAGCCUAGUGGUUAGAGUGUAGAGGAGGCAGGUAGCCUAGUGGUUAGAGUGUAGAGGAGGCAGGUAGCCUA